AAGUCGUAACAAGGUUUCCGUAGGUGGUUCGCCUACCAAACCAGAGAGUCAGCACCGCUGGCUACACUUCUACUGUGCUGGGAACCACUAACGUGCUACCAGCAGCCCGAGUGAUCGGGUUCACAGGUCAAAUAGACGUGGCCCCGCCUGGGGUUAAGAUAUGAUCGGACUGCACCGUAACCGGCUGCAGAGACUCGGAACCUGCGGAAGGAUCACUAAAGAGAACUUGCCCUUCGGGGUAGAUCUCCCACCCUUUGUUUAUUAUACUUUGUUGCUUUGGCGGGCCUGCCUCACGGCUGC
This 300-nucleotide unclassified non-coding RNA is filed under the name Ascomycota sp. RNAcentral describes it as "partial contains internal transcribed spacer 1". The record is from RNAcentral. Lineage: Eukaryota; Fungi; Ascomycota.